UACAGAGGUGGCAAGCGUUGUUCGGAAUUACUGGGCGUAAAGGGCGCGUAGGCGGCUCGACAAGUCCCGCGUGAAAGCCCCCGGCUCAACUGGGGAACUGCGCGGGAAACUGUCGGACUUGAGUUCGGGAGAGGGAAGCGGAAUUCCGGGUGUAGCGGUGAAAUGCGUAGAUAUCCGGAGGAACACCCGUGGCGAAGGCGGCUCUCUGGAACGGUACUGACGCUGAGACGCGAAAGCGUGGGGAGCGAACAGG
This 253-nucleotide ribosomal RNA is filed under the name uncultured bacterium. RNAcentral's name for it is "partial 16S ribosomal RNA". It matches the Rfam family "Bacterial small subunit ribosomal RNA", at positions 524 to 776 of the family's 1533-position model. The record is from RNAcentral.